Molecule: long non-coding RNA, 1479 nt
Filed under: Phasianus colchicus (ring-necked pheasant)
Lineage: Eukaryota; Metazoa; Chordata; Aves; Galliformes; Phasianidae
Description: lncRNA (ENSPCLG00000018529.1)
Source: RNAcentral
GGUCGCGGUGUGUUUCAGUUACAAAACGGGAUUUUUUCGCUCCUCUCUCCCCUCUCUGCCUCAGAGGAUCUGCAGUUUCAAAAAGCCGAUUGAGCACGGCGUGAAAGCGCGAGGCUGACGACCGGGGGGGCCUCCUACCGCCACUAGCGCAAUCCUCGUUCCGUGCCCCGCAAGGAGGAGCCCCAGUGGAACCCACAGCGCAUCGCAUCCCCGCUUUCCCCCCCCCCUCAUAUCCCCGGCACCUCGCACCCCCCGUGGAUGUCACCAGCAUCGCUGUUUCAAGGCUGGGGAUGGUAUUCCCAGCUCAGCCGGGCGCUUUCAUUCAUAAAACUGCAAGGAGACAUCCAGACUUUGGUCACCCCUCUGUAUCCAGUGCUGGGACUGGGCCAGGGAUGCCUUUAUGCUGAUUGUAUCCACGAAUGUGUGUAUAAUGAACUCAGAAGGAAUGCAGCACUAAAAGAAGCCUUUGUAAUGUUGCUAUUUUAAGGAGACCCUUGGGUUCACUGAAACAUCACGACUUACAUCAGCCAAAGCCUUUGAUCAGGGAGGGAAAGGUCUGACAUGGAUGGGGUUGACAGCCACGCUGCAAAAAUCCCUCAUUGUGCAAGAAGCCAGUCCAAUGACUGAGUGUCACCAAGGGUGAGACAGCCUUUUCUGCACUGUUUUCACUUGGCUAUUGCUGGUGUUUUGUUUGCAAAGUCAAGGCCAAAAUAUACAAGAAGCAGCUUUGGACACGUUGCAUUUGUGCAUUAAGCCGGAUAGCCAUGAUGAAUUUCUGGCCAUUUUUGUUGUAUGCGUUGUAAAGAGCAAAAUUUUGCUGUCAACCUUCUAUUUUUGCAUGGUCAGAGAGGAGAAGGAGUAGAAUAGAGGUGUAAUUGACACUGUUUGUCCAAAGCUGAAGUCGUAACUCCUGGCUGAGAUGACUGGAAGCUGUGUGUGUGAUGGCUUCUUUGUUGGCUCUUUAAGAAAAUAUCUGCUCUGGGUCUCAUGGACAAAACCCAGGGUGAAAAAUCCUCUCAGUGCAAAAUGAGAAGCCAGAUGAAAAGCCCAGAAAAGCUGUGGAUGCUCCACCUCUGGAGGUGCUCAAGGCCAGGCUGGAUGGGACCCUGGGUUUCCUGAUCUGGUGGGUGGUAAACCUGCCCAUGGCCCAGGGUUGGGACUGGAUGACCUUUGAGGAUGUUUUCAGCCUAAGCUAUUCUAUGAUUCAAUGACUUUCUCCAUUAGCAUCCAGCACUCAAGGAACGGGGUUGCUUUGGAAAUGAAUGUCAGAAUAAGGAAAAUAGGCUUUUUGUACUCACAGAAAACAAAUGCUCAAAAAGAAUGAGGGUGAGAGUCAAAGCUAUUAAAACACUUCCUGGGACAGUAUUUUGGUUUUCAGCAGCUUCCUCUUCUGUUUUGUUUCAAUUCCUUCUAAACCCUGCUCCUCGUCCUCCGAGUGGUAUGAAAUAAAAAAUAGUAAGAAAUAGAUUUUUCUGUACA